This 385-nucleotide ribosomal RNA is filed under the name uncultured bacterium. Its description in RNAcentral is "bacterial SSU rRNA". It matches the Rfam family "Bacterial small subunit ribosomal RNA", at positions 355 to 737 of the family's 1533-position model. The record is from RNAcentral.
UGAGGAAUAUUGGUCAAUGGGCGCAAGCCUGAACCAGCCAUGCCGCGUGCAGGAAGAAUGCCCUAUGGGUUGUAAACUGCUUUUAUUUGGGAAUAAACCUUUCUACGUGUAGGAAGCUGAAGGUACCAAAUGAAUAAGCACCGGCUAACUCCGUGCCAGCAGCCGCGGUAAUACGGAGGGUGCAAGCGUUAUCCGGAAUCAUUGGGUUUAAAGGGUCCGCAGGCGGGAUUAUAAGUCAGUGGUGAAAUCUCAUAGCUUAACUAUGAAACUGCCAUUGAUACUGUAGUUCUUGAAUUCGGUCGAAGUGGGCGGAAUAUGACAUGUAGCGGUGAAAUGCAUAGAUAUGUCAUAGAACACCGAUAGCGAAGGCAGCUCACUAGGCCUG